UGGGGAAUUUUGCGCAAUGGGCGCAAGCCUGACGCAGCGACGCCGCGUGAGUGAAGAAGGCCUUAGGGUUGUAAAGCUCUUUCACCCGUGAAGAUGAUGACGGUAGCGGGAGAAGAAGCCCCGCCUAACUCCGUGCCAGCAGCCGCGGUAAUACGGAGGGGGCGAGCGUUGUUCGGAAUUACUCGGCGUAAAGGGCGCGUAGGCGGGCUGGCCAGUCAGAGGUGAAAGUCCUGGGCUCAACCUGGGGACUGCCUUUGAAACUGCCAGUCUAGAGUCCGGGAGAGGAUGGCGGAAUUCCCAGUGUAGAGGUGAAAUUCGUAGAUAUUGGGAAGAACACCGGUGGCGAAGGCGGCCAUCUGGACCGGCACUGACGCUGAGGCGCGAAAGCGUGGGGAGCAAACAGGAUUAGAUACCCCCGUAGUCC
This 424-nucleotide ribosomal RNA is filed under the name uncultured prokaryote. Its description in RNAcentral is "bacterial SSU rRNA". It matches the Rfam family "Bacterial small subunit ribosomal RNA", at positions 355 to 796 of the family's 1533-position model. The record is from RNAcentral.